This 14062-nucleotide long non-coding RNA is filed under the name Coffea arabica (coffee). RNAcentral's name for it is "long non-coding RNA (CARA_LNC000846)". The record is from RNAcentral. Lineage: Eukaryota; Viridiplantae; Streptophyta; Magnoliopsida; Gentianales; Rubiaceae.
GACUUUAUUUCUUCAUUUAUAUUUGCUUACAUCAUCAUUACAAUUUCCAAUACACCUUUUUACCUUCCCAAUUACCUUUUUAUCUCACACACAUCACAUCACAAAAAAUGCUACAGUAAAAAUAUCUCAAAUAACUUACAAUCCAAACAAACUUAAAAUAAUUUUGGUAUCCAAACACUCCUAUUAUUCUAUCCAAAUAAUGCCAAUUAGGCAGGAACCAGAAACAGUUCCAGCGCCAAUUUUGACCGGCCAAACGAAGUUCACAGCAGUGUGUCAGCAGUAAAUACAGGACUCAUUUAUCAACAAAAAAAAAGAACACGUGAAUCUAUCUAUUCUCCAAUUUAACCACGGCCAUCCGCUCUGAGUCUGAUCUGUCACCUUCCCAAUUUGUCACUCACAAAAUUUACUCUCUGUUUUCCCCUGGAUUCAGGGGACCGGCCAACGAAGAAAUAAUUCAUUUCUCCUGAGGGAUGAGAACUAAAAGUCGGAAAAGAUAAGCUAAUUUUUUUUUGGGGGGUUUUAAUCCUCCGCUAUUAAUGCAGAAAUAAUUGAAGUUUUUUAAUUUGGCUUUCGCCACGGCCCGAGAGUCAGAGACAGUCACAGUCAACGGCCAUGGCCUCUCCCUCUCCAACAGUCCGUUUUCUGAGCCUUCUAGACCAACCCGAGCCCGACCCCCAUAACGGCCACCACAAUCCUCUCGAGCUCGACGAGAGCGACGUCGUUUGGUCCUCCUCCUCCGCCUGCUCUACCGACACCGAAUCCCACUCCCCACCUCUCCCUCCUCCAAUUUGCCGACCACCCAUCUCCGCCGUCAUCGCAACCACGUCAACCCACCCAAUUACGGGCUCUCCGCCGCCCUCUCCCAAGACCACCACCCUCCUCUUGUCCGCCGGAAAUCCACCCUCAACCCCUCCCUCUCUGCAGCCUCGGCCGCCAGGAUGGUCCCGCCCGUGGUUCGAUCCGAGAAUUCUAAUCUGAUUUCCGCCGGAAGGUUCCACCAAUCGGCUCCGGUGAACGUCCCUGUGUGGCCGAAGAAGAAGAAAUUGGGUGAGUUUGAUAAUUUAGAGCGGUUGGAGGAGGUAGACAAUGAGAGAGAAAAGGAGGAUGAGGAGGAGAUGGUGCCGCCUCACGUGAUCGUCGCGAGAUCUCACGUGACAUUCUCUGUUUUCGAAGGCGUUGGACGGACUCUCAAGGGAAGAGACUUGCGGAGCGUGCGUAACGCUGUGUUCCAGAAAACAGGUUUUAUUGACUGAACAUUUCAAGUUCCAUUCAAUCGAUUUUUUUUUUUAUUUUAAAUAAGGGAAAAAAAAAAGAAAAAAAAAACAAAAUCGAUCUAUUUCCUCUUCAGUUCUGUAAUUUUGUUAUGCCUUUGUGCUUUGAUUACUUUAUCUAGAUUCGGAAAAUGGAAGCAGCUAGAUUUUGUUUUGUUGAUGAAAUAAGCUGUACAAAAGCUUUGUAGUAACCAAUCUUGAACUUGUACAUACAGGCGGUUUUAGUUGUCGGUCGACAUUAAUGAAUGUUCAUCUUCUUCCCUCCCCUUUUCUUCCCCCAGAAAUUCUCACAUUGGCCGCAUGGAAUUUUCCCUCUUUUUUUUUUUUUUUUAUCUAUUCUGGUAUUUUAACUGCUCUCCUUUCAUAUAGACGUAGGACCAAGGUUCUACGCAAGAGAGAACUCAUUUAUAAUAUGAAUGCCGAUACAAGCAUUCUUUCUUCGUUGUGCUGGUAGAAAGAAUCCAUAGCAACAUGUAACUGCUAGCGUAUAUUAUUAGUGCAACAAAGAUUCAUCCAAAACAGAACUUGAAACAAUUCUUAAAGGAAAGAUUUGAUUGGGUACUUGUGGACGGAGAGGAAAGCAGGUUUUCUCUCUACAUAAUUUCCACAUCUUUCUGCAACAUGCCAAGAUGUUGCCUCAUCUCGUUCAUGACAUAAAAGCUACUAUUAAUUUUAACCGGGGAACUCUGAGACAAAGCCUGAAUUUUUUUUUCACCGAGUCUGUUGCUUCUGUUACCAUUUACUUCCUCACUAUAGUGAGCUUUAAUCCUGUAACAUUUCUCUGUUCAGAAACGUGAUGGAGAGAUCUGCAGUAAUUGCCUUUUUUAAAGAUUCACUCGACAUUUAGUAGCCAACAUAUCAUCAUUAGUUAAGCGAAGCUGCAGUAACUUCUUGAAGUCUAUAAUGCUGCUCCAUACUCCAUGGCGCUGAGUUUGUUCUCAAAUUAGUUCAUGACGGCUGAUAAAGAAUCGGGUAACGGUGAAUUAUAGCUCUUAGUCUGGUGAAAAUUGGUUAGAUCUGGACAAGCAUUCAAGAUGAGCGCAGAUUGUUUGUCCUUUUUUUUUUUUUUUUUCUGGCUUGGUGCCUUCUCUGCAGCACCUGUACCGGUAGUUGGGCCAUGUCAAAGGCCGGUUCUUUAAUGUUAAAACCUUAUUUUUCUUUUUUUUGGGUAGACUUCACAUAAGUCUGCUGCAAGGAGCAAAGGCUUCACAUAAGUCUGUAGGUUAGCUGAAUUAGACGGAUAUGGAAAAGGUGGUCUAAUCAUAAGAACACCAGAAAGGCAGAACAUAGGUGAGGGUAUUGGGUAUGGGAUGAAUGCUGAAGGGGCGGUCUUGGGCUUCUGGCAUUGAAAGUGAUGUAGCUAGGACGAAUAGCGCUGCUGAUCCUUAGUAGAUGUGGUCCGAAAGUCAGUACCAUCCAUCUCUCCCAACUCAAAUUGAGAGGGCCAGAGUUUUUAGAUAAGAAUCUGGUGCUUUCCGGGAAGUAGAUGAUAAUCGUUUGCACCAAAAGUGCAAGAAGCCAACAAGUGAUAUCGGUUUGCAUGUUUUACUAGAUCACUGCAACAGUGCAUGUUCUGCGUAGGAUUUUUUUCUGGUUUGUGGUUGAAAUGGUUUGUUCGAAGGGAUGGAAGGAGAAUGGGAAGAAAGUGGAGAGGGAAUCUGCUUCGAUCAACCAAAAUGGAGUCAUGAUGGGCUCAAAGAAGUGGACGUCAGUCUCUAGAAGUACUUUACACUGGGAACGUGGAGAUUGACCAUCGCUUUCUCUUUGAGAUCCCUGGAGUGACAAGUGAUGACCGUUGAAUACACCGCUGAGCCACGUUGGGUAUCGCUUUAUUGGCUAUUCUAACGAUUGCAAAAUUUUCGCUUUCGUCCACCUUCAAAAGGUCUGGUGCUCAGGCAACAAUUACAUUUAAGUCAGACCUGGUGAUCAAUGGCCCCCUACUUUUCAAUAGAUUGGGAAGAAUCUACGAGUAUGGACCAUGCUAAAAAGUCAGCUAAGGUCUGCUGUUGUCCAUCUCUGACAAAAGUUGAUCAUGUUGUGGGGCUCUCCUCUAAAGUAGUUGUGAGACUCGCCUCGGUGCGCUUAUUAUUUUUUAGUUCACAGUGAUCAUGGGUCUCUCUCUCCCCCCUCUUUCCUACAAAUUUAUGAGGCAUUGGAAGCUUACAAACUCCAUGAUUAAUUGUUUUGCUCCUAUUACUUCUACUUUUGACGCAUUCUGGUCUGAUAUUGAUAAUCCAAACCAAUGCCCGGCAAUUGAAAACCUUUUGAUGUACAAUGGGUGUAUUAGCAAAAAUUAUUUUUGCCCAUUUAACUACUGGAUCGACCUUACAAUUCUUCCGCAACAGCUGCACUACACUACUACGGAAAUCCUUGUGUCGUCAUUUCUCUACUGCACUGUCAGUUAUUGUGCUCCUUGUCCUCAUUUCUCUGCUGCUCUAUAUGGAUCUAAAAACUGAAUACCCAUUCCUGUUAUUUGACCCGAGUAAUCAUCUAAUACCCUAUUCAGGACCUUGGUGUGUAGGCAAGAAGCUCAUGCAGAUUGGCGGGUUAACCUUGAAUAAAGCUAGAAUCGAUGAGGGGAGAAUCCACAAUCCAUCUCCACAUAUCAUACCGGAAGCAACGGCAGGAACCAUCAAAGUGGCCUUCCUGCUAUUGAGCUUGUGCCAUACAUAGACGACCAAACUGCCCACGCACAUAUCGAUUGCAAAAUAAGCACCUACAAGGAAUGGCACCGCCAUGGCCAUCGGAAGCGGCACCCAUUUCCCAAUCUUUUGGGGGUUAUGUCUCUAAAAAGGUUGGCCACAAAAGCAAAAGCAAAAAACCCAUAACACAGCUGCAAGCAAUGCUGUGGCAGUGCAGAGAAGCCUUCAACACCCAGAAUUGCCAUGUUUCUGUAUAUCAGUGCGUAGGGAGCCUUAUAUUCGCCGUCAGGAUUUCCAACAUCAAAGGCCUUGUAGAAAAGCAAGAAAGUUAUUGGGGCUACUAUGCAGCCAAUGGCGGUCCCAAUGCCUUGGCCAAGCAGCAUUGACCGAGGGGAUGUAAGGGUGAGAUGACCGGUCUUGAAGUCAUGCAUCAAGUCAGAGGAUAUGGAAACUAUAGAUUUUAUGAGCCCACAACCAAUAAGCCCGCAACUACACCAUUAUCUUUUCCAGCCAAGGCGGCAAGCACAAAGAGGGCUACCUUCCCAUAAUUGUAUGCCAUGUUCAUGUCGGUCAGACCAGCACCAUAAGCAUUGCAGAAACUUAGUGAUGGAGCAAGCAAGUAGGCAACGAGAACAAAGUACCACUUCAGCUGUGGAAACAUUUUUGGAAUCACAGCGAUGGAUAUAAUGGAGAACAAGAAAUAUCCAACACAUGCUACCCAUAAAGGAAUGCUCUCUCUCAUGAAGACUUCGUUUCGUUGAAGAUCGUCAAGUGGCUGAGUUCUACUGUCUGAGGUUUCUGUGACCAAAUAGACAUAAUUUAGCAAGAUCCGUAGAAAAAUGUUACUGCUGAAAGUGCAUUUUUGGUUGAAAUACUCUUGGUCUAAAGAGAGGGGCAGCAUUAUGCAAUUUGGAGGCCAUGUGCAAGUUGCUUGCUUACUGAUAUACGAGUCUUCUUCAAUGCAGCACGUAGACUUAGUCCGGUGAAGAAGAGCGACUUAAGAAAUUGUACAAUCCGUCCCCAAGAAUAAGGGCAAUAGAAAUAAAGACCUGCAGCCAUGCAAAAGAGUAAAAUGACAAAAAAUGUUGGUGUAGUUUGUAAAUUAAAACAAUAGUGAGAUUUGCUAUGAAUUUGAAGCUGAACAAUAACAAUCAAGCCGGAUUCAUCAAACGGAUUGAGUCUAAAAUGUCCAAGAUUUUUGUACUAAGGAUCCGUCCGCGGAUCCUGGUGAUGUUGAGAAACUUUGACAUGAAAUAAAAAAAAGUUUUGAGACUGAAGGCAAAAGGCAUUCAGAAGGAGCUUCUUCCCUUGAUAUAAAAAAAAAAAAAAAAAGGGUUAAAAACGGUUAUUUACCAACCUUGUAACCAUUUAGACUCUUCAUACUGCUUUCUGAUAACGUUCUGGGGAACCAAUCCCCCUUGCGGUCGUGUAUUAGUGGCCACAUUAUGCCCCAAGAGAGAACCGCUCCAAAGAGCAAAGACAAAUUGACAAGAUGAGAACAAAUCAUUCCAGCUCCUAUGUAUGUCAUACUGAAAUCAAAAUAGAAUCUGCAAAAUUCAAUUAAUUACAUCAAUUGCAGUUGAAAAAAAAUUUCCAAUUACAAGACUUGAGAACUUGUAAAGAAAAAGCAAAUAACUAAAAGGGUAGGAGUAUAGACGUUUGUCUCCAAGCUUUCAGCCCAAAUGUGGAAGUUGACGAAUCCGCAUUGGCUUCCACCAGAGUAGAACCACUGAAACAUUCCCCACAGGAAACUGAUUGAGAAGAAUUUCAUGAACCCCUGUACCUGUUUCCUGAAGGGGUAAAAAGGAGAUCAAGUUUUAAGAUAUAUCCUGUCCACUUAAUGUUUUCUUCCUUUUUAUCUGCACCAUACCAUGUUAAAUAUAUAUAUAUAUAUAUAUAUAUAUAUAUAUAUAUAUAUAUCACAGUAAAAUUUCUAUAAUCAUUCUUUGCUCACUUGGCAUUUUUGUCCCCCUUGGGAGUAUGGAAACCGUUGAUGAGUACUGCAGUUGCAGUUCCACUAGGAUAAGUCAACUUGUAAUCAAUUAUCAUGAUCUGUGAAUAAAGCAAAGCAGGAAGAGCAUUGCUUGUGAAGCCUACUAGAGACGCAGAUUGUCAAAAUAUACAUUUGUGAACUGCGUCCAAAACAGGGAUGAGCUGUUCUACUGCCAGAAAGAAACAACGUCUAGCUGUUUUAAUUGGCAGGAACGGCGUACCUUUCUAAGAGGAACCAAAGCCAAAAGGCCAACAAAGCUGACAACAAAAAGGAAACGAUCAUCCACUCAACGCCAGGUUCCUUGUAGCUCCCUGGCACAUUUCCCUCGCUAUCAACUCCAGCUUGUUCGUACGUCCUCUUGUUUAAUCCGAGGAGAUAAGACCCAAAACCACCUAAACACCACAAUCAAUAAGGUCUUAUUAACUACGUAAUAGGAUUAUAGCACCAAAAGCUUGAUCGAGCAAGCAGCGGCAAUUCUGUCAAGAAAUUUGCACGGCCACAACAGAAAAGCUGUUUUAGUACCUGCAACGGCUAUGCUAUAGCAUGCAACAGCACAAGUCUGAAUAAUGGUAUUCUCUUGCCUGGUGAACGGAGCUGAGGCGAAACUUGCCCUCUGAAGCAGCUUGGUCCACGUCUGGAUGAAGACAAAGGCGCAAGAAGUGCAGCUGAGACGUUGAGAUUAGGCAACAAGCCAGUGGUGAGAUUGAGCUUCAUCACGAUCACGCUGUAUACGAUCCCAAUCACGAUGCUCGCGAUUACUCCUCGAAGGCUGAUUUGCUUGGUCCACGGAGGAAUUCUUUUUACAUCCUCCUCCAAACCCCCUCCUCUUCCAUCUUCCCCAUCAACUACACCUGUAAUCUCCUUCGAAUCUUCAAUGCCUUGCGUUUCCCCCUCGAGCCAUUCUUGCACUCAUCCUGCCAAUUCCGAUCCAUGACCAAAUUAAUGAACAGUCAUCAGUACGAGAUUCCCAAUAACUAAAAGUCUUGAAUUACCUUGCGUAAGCACAUAAUUAGACAUGAGGCGGAAGCGCAUCCGAUGAACGUGGAAAAAACAACGAAAAGCAAAAAAAAUCCUUAAUGACAAAUUAUAAACAAGGAGCGUAAGCAAGAGUAUUAAUUGAUUACCUGAAAAGAGGGUCAAAAAAUAUUCUUUGUCCAGCUGGUCAGAGAAUUAGACCGCGCAACCAGAAUGCUGUUAUCAUCAAUUAACCGUCCAAGAGCUAAACCACAACGCAGGAAAACAAAAAAACAUAUGACAGCUGCUAAUCCACAAUUACCUAUAAAACUUAAACCAAGAAAUCCAAAGCGGAAAAGAAAAAUUCCCAGAUGGAUUCGGCUCUUUUAGUGCAAUGAGAAUCCAAUCCAAUACGUAAUCAUUAGCUUGAUGAAUGCUACUUAGUAGCUCUUUCGAAAAGAGGAGGAGCACUCAGGGAAGUGAACCAGCUGUAAUGUAAUAACUAGAAUUUAAAGAAGUGAAUCCAGAGAUGCCAGGGAGGGAAGCAAAUAAAGCUCACCAACCGACUGGGCAAGACCUUGUACUACAUCUAGCGCUCUUGUAGUACAAGAAAUGAAAAAGAAAAACCAUAAAGACAUUGGUAGUACACAUGGCGACUACAAUUCCAAAUACUACUGGGGAGUACUACAUCAGUAUGAUUGCCAUUAUAAUGGGAUGGGACUUGUAAGACCAAAUGGUAGGCUAGAAAUGAGCUGCCUUCCCGUUGACUAAAAGUUCCCCGAGUCCAAUAUCUCGGUCGACACACGUAAAAUGGGGAUGAAAAGAUUUUGAUUUUGAUGAUGGAUUCGGAUUUAGGAUGGAAGCAAUUACUAGUCCUGGACAACAGGAGCGUUAGUUCCUUUGAGAAUUUCUUUUUUUUUUUUUUUCUUUGGUUUGGUGCUGUAGUAAAGACUAAAUACUCCGCACUCCGCAAGUUAAAAACGAAAGGGAAAGCGUAAUAUAAGCACAAGGGAGGGAGGAAAGAGUGCUGCCUUUCUUUCACUUUCAGGCUCGUGGUGCAUACACAUGGCGUUGGGGGUGCGGCGACCGAAACAACUUUUUGGUGUCAGGGGAAAUUGAAUUGAUGGUUUAUAAUGAACUUGUGAUGUUGCCAACGAAACCAAAUAACUCUUUAAUCCAAUGCCGCUGCAUCAUGAAAAGUUGGAUCGUUAUUUUUAGAAAUUUCCAUCAAAAAAAAUUUCGGCAAAGAUUUGACUUAUAUAAGUGCAGCGAUUUGAUACAUAUGAAAUAAAAAUAUAUUUAUAAAAAAUAAAAAAUUUUUCUGUAAAAAAUCAUAAUCCAAAUAUGGCCGCAUGAGUUUUCUUCCACGUGUUGCUGAAUUACAAGGGAAUUUUUUCCUUUUUGAAAAAAAAAAAGAAUAAAAGAAAUCACUAAGUUGGAAUAAUUUGGGCGGGCGAGUAGGGAUGACAAUAAUAGAUGGCUAUGAGGUGGAGCCGUCGUCUAGAAGCUCCCCAUUCUCUGUUAUUUCCACCAUUGCCCUACUCUGCAGGUGCACUCUGUCCUGCUCUGCCACUAUUUUUAGUUUUUUUUUUUUUGUAUGUAUACAAUAUUAACAAUGAAUUUACUAAUUAAUAUUUUUAAAAAAUUCAACGUAAAUUAAAAUUUAAAAAUUAUUUUUAUCUUAUGAAAUAUUUGAUUUUGCAUAAAAUCUAAAUCAACUAAGGUUGUUUUUUUUUAAAUCAACAAAAUUAUUGUUUAACUACAAUAAAUUAACAAGAAAGAUUAUAUUUAUAUAUAUGCCCAUGUAUAUAUUAUAUAUAUAUAUAUAUAUAUGUCCGUGCACGUGCAGGUGCAUUUUAGUGAUUAAAAUUAAGACCCACAAUGUAAGGAUUCUUAAUUUUAAUUUCCCUGCCCAUUCCCCACUACUUGAUCCCCGCCGCUGGCUCCAUUUAAUGCUAGAGGAGAAAAAUUCCACCCUCCCCAACCCUCCGGAGGAGAGGCUGUUGAUCGUCCACGGUGGGGUGCUCGACUGCUUGCGGGCCCCUUACAUGGCAAUCGCUUAAUUUGACUGCUCAUUGCCUUAAGAAAAUUUUUUUUGAUUAAGUGCUUAAAAUAUUUGUAAAUUAACUUUAUCUUCUUAUUUACUUUUUCGAAACUUUGUGCACGUCAAAUCACAAAAUAUAUUAGAGCGCCGUCCUGAGUCAUUGGCAGAUUGGUUUAUGCCAAAUAUGGGAAUGGGGAAAAUCAUCUCAUUUUUUAAUUUUCUUUCCCAUUCUGAUUUAUUGGCAAGUAGACACAGCUUUUCGUUCGUUCGCGUCGCAUUCCACGUGACAAUUACGUUCUAAGCAUCUUCUUAGAAUACGGUUGCUUGUGUCAGCCUCGGGUCCUCUCAUACGCAAACAAUAAAUUAUGAAAGUCCACAAAUGAAUUUCUUAAUCCUCACACAACUCGCGACAAAAGCUCUCGCUGAAUAAUUUCCCUUUUAUGCUUUUUUUUUUUAAAAAAAAAUCUUUCUUUCGUCGUUGUUCGUAAUUACUUCAGAGCCUACGACAUGACGGUCCAUUUUACUGCGUGAAUUCGACGCCCAAGUUGGGAUAUUGUACGGUCCGCUUUCAUCAUUCCUUUUUGUUUUUUGGGAUAAUUUCAGAAACGUCGCCUGACGUUGUUGUUUGGCGCUAUUUGACUGGUCUCCGUUCAGAUUUUUUAAAACUAGUAUAAAUACCCGUGCUACUAGAUUACAUUUUUGAAAAAAAUUACAAUCUAUAGAAGAAUUUAAAAAUAGUAAAAUGUUAUAAUCACGGGCACAUGAAAGUAUAUUUAAAAAAAUGAAACCUUGUAACAAUAAUUCAAUAUAUAAUAAAAACAUCUCUAUUAUUUAUAAACUAUCACUUUGAUGAAGGUUGGAUCCUGAAAAAAAUAGAAAUCCAUAUCAUAAAUUGAGCGACAUAAGGGUCCAAUUAAAUAUAAUUAAAUAUUUAAUUUGGUAAAUAAAUGAAAUACUUACAAACAUUUUGCCUUCAAUUUGAUAAUCUUCUACGAAGGCGUGAAUAUUUUUCACACCAAUCAACUCUGAGUACGAACGCCAGUAUUGGGGAUUUAAUUAAUUCUGUUGAUUUUUGUGGAGUUCGUACUAUAAAUGAGAAUGCACGAUUUUUGCAUGACUUAAUGUGUUGGACGAACAAUGCACCUCCAUUUUCCUGACAAUUAAAAGCAUACAUAAUUCAAAAUUAUCUUUUGUUUUAGAUAGUUUGUAAAUAAUAUUGUAUAAAAAUAUAUACAUAUAAAUAAUGUAUACCUUUGUUUUUAAAUCUCUAAGAUAAAAAGCAUCACAACAAAACAUGAAUCGUGCAUGUCUGUCUUGAAGAGCCAGGUAUAGGUUACCACUGAAAUCUUUAACUUCUAUGUUAACAUUGUAUCUGUUAAAAAGAAAUUGUGAUGUAUGAUGUAAAAAAUUAUAUUAAAAUUCAAAAUAUAUGAAAAUAAUUACCUGACAAUAGUGUCGACUACGUCAUUACAAUGGAUAUACACCAUUUUUGCAAAAUGAGAUUAACAUGGUUGUCCAAAAUUUUUGCAUAACUCAUGGAACAUAUUGUCUAUGUUGAUGCUUUGAAUAUAAGCAAGUAUCCGAAAAUAUUUAAUCUAAAACAAUCCAAAGAAUGUUUAGAUUACAAUUAUUAAUUCGAAACUACAUAUAGAUACUUGUUCAUUACUUAAUUAAUUGAGAGGAAUUGUACCGUAGGUAUAACUGCAUAUUUAAAUAUCAAUAUGUUUUUAGCAUUUGAUAUCAAUAAUGCUUGGGACAUUAUAAAACUGCAUGACCGCAACCACGUCACUAAUUUCUGAGCACAUUUAUCAUUCUCAAACCUGCAAAUUUUUCAAAUAUAUAUUCGCAAGAGUAUGAAAUAUUAUUAAUAAUUUAAUAUUUUGGUAUUUGUAAAACUUACCAACUGUGUAGGUAUUGAGCAAAAUCCAAGUAGUAAUUGAGAUACAAUUUGCUUGCUUGAAUAGUAUAAAGUGACGAUCCUGCACAAUGUGCUAUAUUUAUUGAUAAACUAUAAAAAUUAAAUAAAAUAAAUUGAAAAUAAAUUGAAUUACCUUUAUGGGAAUUAGUAGUGGCAUGGCGACCAUCUGACACGCGUGGGCUAAUAAGGAUACCAACAGCAAGUGGAAAGAGAUCUUACUCAAUCUUCUCAUGGAAUUGGAUUGGAAGAGGUUUAAUUGUAGUGGGAAGAUGUGUGAGGAGAGUUAAUUGGAAUUAACUUCUUGUUUGAGGGAACGUGAGAAUGUUUAGUUGGAGUUAACUUCUUGUUUGAGAAAAAACGUGGGGGUAUAAUGUGCUCAUGAUGUUUUUUACGAAAUAAAUUAAAUGUAAAAUGCUAUAAAAAUAGAGUUGAGAGUGGGAAGGAUUGUGAAGGAUUGUUUCUAAAAAUACCUUCUUAAAUUUAUAUAGAUAUAGAUUACACUACUAACUUUCAUUAAUAUUUUUUAUUUUAUAACAUGUAAAUCUAACCAAUAAAUAAAAAGUGAUAUUAUAAGAGAUAAGAUAAUAUGAUUCAAUCAUUUCCACUCAACUACUGAAUUAUUUAAUUAAAUUAAUACCUAUCCAAACAUUUAUUAGAAAUUAAAUAACAUAUUUCAUAAAAAAUAGUACAUCAUUCUGUAUAUUUCAUUUAACAUAAGAUUCAAAUUGCUAUUUUCAAUUACUAAUUCAUUGUCAAAUGUGUUCAACAACAAAUAAUCAAAAAGUUUUGUAACCAAAAUAUUACAAAGAGUAAACUUUAAUACCAUAAAAGUUUUGACAACUAAUCUUAAUUUAUUGACAAGAAUAUUUAUGAUGUUAAAAUUUGUUCUUUAUAAUAUUUUGGUUGCAAUUUUUUAAUUAUUUGUUAUUAAUCAUAUUUGACAAUGGGCAUGCAACUGAAUAAAGUAGAUUGGAUCUUGUAUUAAAUGAAAUAUAAAAAAUGCUAUAUUAUUUUUUAGGGAUAAUAUCAAAAACCUUCCCGAGGUUUCUCUUAAUGUCACCUGACAGUCUGACACCCCUAAGAUUUUAAAAAUAUCACUUACCUCCCUUACCUUUGUUAUUUAUGUAACAAAAUUUUUAAAAACCCUAAACUACCAUUGCACUUGCUAAAUAAAAAUGUUCCUAAACCACUUUGUUCACUUUAAGAAAAUCAUCACCUCAAAAGUAAUCUCUUGUAGUAUUGCUACAUCACAAUUAUAUACCCCAUAAAAAUAUAAAUUUGAAAAAAAAAUGAUAUUUGAAAAGAAAUACACUUGCAUUAAUUUAAUUCUAUAUGCUCAAAACCGAUUUCCUAUAAAUUUACAUUUUUUUCCAACAUCUUCUCAACCCUUUACUCAAACCAUUAAACUAUACCAAUCAUUAUAAAAAUCAACCCAAAAUAAGCAAAUAAAUCAUACCCCACUUUAUCGCAAUCACAAAAUGUAAAAGAUAGACAAAAUUUAAUUUAUCAUAAUUUACAAUAAAAUAUUGCAUAGUCAUCCAAAAAUAUAUGAGUAAGAGAGAAUGAUGGAGAAAAGGGAAAAAGAAGAAUGUGACUUCGGGUUUUUUUUUUUUUUGAGUUUCAUUUAUUUGAUAUGUUGUGAAUUAUGUAUCAAGUAAGGGUUAAUAUAAUCGUUUUGCAAUUAUAAGGGGAGGUAGGUGAUAUUUCUAAAAUCUCUAGGGUGCCAAGUGAUAUUAAGAGAAAGCUCAAGAAAGGUUUCUGAUAUUACCCCUAUUUUUUUAAUAUAAUAUACAUGGACAUGCAAUUGAAUCAUACUAUUUUUUCUCUCCUAACAUUACUUUUUUAAUUACUGGUUGAGGGCGAUUGAUGUAAUUUUUAAAAUAUGAAUAGAAGUUAGUGAAAUAGUUAGAAACCUCACUGAAGGUUUUCUGAAAUUAUCCUUGUUUUUUCCCCUAUUUUGAGGGGACUACUGGUCUCGUUUUAUUAUUUCUUUCUGGGGUAUGUGUAUAUAUAUAUAUAUAUAUAUAUAUAUAUACAUGGGUGUUUAUUGUAGCGAUAGUCAUGUUGUAUGAGUGGAAAGUUUAGUACAUAAGAUAUGAAUAGAUAAUAGUGAAUAUUAAAGGAUACAUUUGAUCAAAUAAAUAAUGACACUUAUUAUUAUUUUUUGGUUACACCAAAUCGUGCUCAGGUUUUAUGUGUAGAAAAAAAGGAUGUAAGGGUCACUCCAGGGAGGAUGGGAAAAUGCUUGCUCCAGAGUCAAAAUCGGAACGGUGUCCAACUAUGGUUUGGUUAACCUAGUGACAAACCCAACAAUUAUUCAGCUUCCGCUCUUUUGUAGUCUCUUAACAAUUUUAUGUGGUGAUUUUAUAGUUUGCUUUUUAUACAUAAGUUUGGUAGUCACACACCGUAUACAGUGCCACUCUUAAAUGCACCUCACAUCACAUGUGCAAAAAAAAAGGAAAUAAAUGAGGCCCAUUAGCCUCUGAAUCCAAGAAGAAAAUAAGCAAACCAUCUAAUGGAUCCAGCUCAAAUAGAACUCCACACUCAGCCUCAUAUGCUCCUGAUCCAGUGCACUCUAUUGAAAGCCGGAGCUGCUAUAGGAAAGCAAUGGGCAUUGAUGUAAGUUCACAUUUGUCUCUGCCCACUUCAUCUGGACGGUCCAGGUCCAACUUCUUUUUUCUCUCAAUAACUGCCAGGGAGACUUGAUUUGUAAUUUUGAAAGUUGGGAGGAGGGCGUUCUCGAUAACCGAGACCCAUCGCGAAAAUUCCUCUUCGCUGCUCCUUCCUUCUUCGUCUUCAAGAAAAAUUACUACACACGAAGUGGGAAAACAAAAGAGAUAAAGAAAAUCGUUUACCGAUUGGUGCAGCUGAGCGAGUGAGGGGGCGCUUUUCUGCGUCUUUUUCUACUGUGCAUCCUCUGCCCUGAUCGAAUUAGUUUAUAAUAUUUACUAGUUAGUUGUAUAACACAGAAGAAGAAGCAAAAAAAAAAAAAAAAGAAAGGAGAGAAAGAUGAAGAGCAAUUCGACAGAGAUGAAAUUCGUGCAAGACCUGAUACUGUACGCUGCCAGCGCCGCUCUGAGUUGCUUGGUCUUAUUCACGGGCUCCGACUUCUCGACCCGAACCGGGAGGCCUCCAAGAAAGCCCUCGAACACAAGAAGGAAAUCUCCAAGCGCUUGGGCCGCCCUCUUAUUCAAACAAAUCCCUACGAGGUCCUUUUUUUUUUUUUUACCCCCUUUUCUU